RNAcentral lists this ribosomal RNA (694 nucleotides) under uncultured Bacteroides sp. Its description in RNAcentral is "bacterial SSU rRNA". It matches the Rfam family "Bacterial small subunit ribosomal RNA", at positions 32 to 715 of the family's 1533-position model. The record is from RNAcentral. Lineage: Bacteria; Pseudomonadati; Bacteroidota; Bacteroidia; Bacteroidales; Bacteroidaceae.
AACGCUAGCUACAGGCUUAACACAUGCAAGUCGAGGGGCAGCGGGAUUGAAGCUUGCUUCAAUCGCCGGCGACCGGCGCACGGGUGAGUAACGCGUAUCCAACCUUCCGUACACUCAGGGAUAGCCUUUCGAAAGAAAGAUUAAUACCUGAUGGUAUGAUGAGAUUGCAUGAUAGCAUCAUUAAAGAUUCAUCGGUGUACGAUGGGGAUGCGUUCCAUUNGGUAGUAGGCGGGGUAACGGCCCACCUAGCCUACGAUGGAUAGGGGUUCUGAGAGGAAGGUCCCCCACAUUGGAACUGAGACACGGUCCAAACUCCUACGGGAGGCAGCAGUGAGGAAUAUUGGUCAAUGGACGAGAGUCUGAACCAGCCAAGUAGCGUGAAGGAUGAAGGUCCUACGGAUUGUAAACUUCUUUUAUAAGGGAAUAAACCCUCCCACGUGUGGGAGCUUGUAUGUACCUUAUGAAUAAGCAUCGGCUAACUCCGUGCCAGCAGCCGCGGUAAUACGGAGGAUGCGAGCGUUAUCCGGAUUUAUUGGGUUUAAAGGGAGCGCAGACGGGUCGUUAAGUCAGCUGUGAAAGUUUGGGGCUCAACCUUAAAAUUGCAGUUGAUACUGGCGUCCUUGAGUGCGGUUGAGGUGUGCGGAAUUCGUGGUGUAGCGGUGAAAUGCUUAGAUAUCACGAAGAACUCCGAUUG